CCAAUAGCGUAUAUUAAAGUUGUUGCAGUUAAAAAGCUCGUAGUUGAAUUUCGGGACCAAUAUGUCGGUCGUGCUUCGGUACGUACUUGCAUUAUUGGUUUCUCACUUCUGAAGAACCAUGAUGUCAUUAAUUUGGUGUCUUGGGGAAUCAGGACUGUUACUUUGAAAAAAUUAGAGUGUUUAAAGCCGGCUUACGCUUGAAUACCUUAGCAUGGAAUAAUGAAAUAGGAUGUUUGAUUCUAUUUUGUUGGUUUCUAGGAUCGACGUAAUGAUUAAUAGGGAUAGUUGGGGGCAUUAGUAUUCAAUUGUCAGAGGUGAAAUUCUUGGAUUUAUUGAAGACUAACUACUGCGAAAGCAUUUGCCAAGGAUGUUUUCAUUAAUCAAGAACGAAAGUUAGGGGAUCGAAGACGAUCAGAUACCGUCGUAGUCUUAACCAUAAACUAUGCCGACUAGGGAUCGGAUGAUGUUAUUUUUGAUGACUCAUUCGGCGCCUUACG
Molecule: ribosomal RNA, 497 nt
Filed under: uncultured Glomeromycotina
Lineage: Eukaryota; Fungi; Glomeromycota
Description: partial small subunit ribosomal RNA
Rfam family: Eukaryotic small subunit ribosomal RNA
Source: RNAcentral